CACCACCGGCGGACGGCUCAGUAACACGUCGGUAACCUACCCUCGGGAGGGGGAUAACCCCGGGAAACUGGGGCUAAUUCCCCAUAGGCCUGAGGUACUGGAAGGUCCUCAGGCCGAAAGGGACUUAUGUCCGCCCGAGGAUGGGCCGGCGGCCGAUUAGGUAGUUGGUGGGGUAAUGGCCCACCAAGCCGAAGAUCGGUACGGGCUGUGAGAGCAGGAGCCCGGAGAUGGACACUGAGACACGGGCCCAGGCCCUACGGGGCGCAGCAGGCGCGAAACCUCCGCAAUGCGGGAAACCGCGACGGGGGGACCCCGAGUGCCGUGGCAACGCCACGGCUUUUCCGGAGUGUAAAAAGCUCCGGGAAUAAGGGCUGGGCAAGGCCGGUGGCAGCCGCCGCGGUAGUACCGGCGGCCCGAGUGGUGGCCGCUAUUAUUGGGCCUAAAGCGUCCGUAGCCGGGCCCGUAAGUCCCUGGCGAAAUCCCACGGCUCAACCGUGGGGCUUGCUGGGGAUACUGCGGGUCUUGGGACCGGGAGAGGCGGGGGGUACCCCUGGGGUAGGGGUGAAAUCCUAUAAUCCCAGGGGGACCGCCAGUGGCGAA
RNAcentral lists this ribosomal RNA (600 nucleotides) under uncultured archaeon. RNAcentral's name for it is "bacterial SSU rRNA". It matches the Rfam family "Archaeal small subunit ribosomal RNA", at positions 73 to 670 of the family's 1478-position model. The record is from RNAcentral.